Pezoporus occidentalis (night parrot) is the source of this 948-nucleotide long non-coding RNA. RefSeq lists it as uncharacterized. The record is from RefSeq and is a predicted model, not a curated record. Lineage: Eukaryota; Metazoa; Chordata; Aves; Psittaciformes; Psittacidae. The transcript is spliced from 3 exons.
UGCCAUGGCACUCAGGCGAAAUAGCUCUGUCAUUUCAGGUUCAGGGCUAUAGCCAGGUACACAGUGGUGUUUAAUUUAGCUGUCUUUUAGGGAUUAGCACAGUGUAUUUGCCUUCUAUAAUGAUUAACAUAAUAUUGAGGAGAGACUCCCUCACAAACUGAGGUGUCAACAAAGGUAAUAGAGACCGUGACACCAGAUGGAAAGAAACAGUACUUGCCACAUGAAGGGGAAAAAGGCAAAAAAAAGUUAACUGCUAUUGAUUGUUAUGGCACAGACAGACAUUAAACAUACACAGCAGACAAUUACAAUUAUAGAGCUGGCCUCUCACCUCAAUUAAAAGGAAACCUGGUGUGGGCAAUGUGAAAAGGAGAGGAGCUGUUCUCUCCUUUCAUCUUGUGAAGUGCUUCUUUCUCUGCUUCCAUGGACUGCUUAGUCUGGUCUCUUGUUUGCCUUUAGUUGAGAUGUUAAUUCUUCCUGCUUUCCUGUGGGAAAAUCCAUGCUUAAGAAGAAGAAAAUAGGAAGAGUCUGAAAACUGGGAAGAAAUUUCAGUGGGGAUGUGGAAAGGAACAAACGGUAUCUCAAUUGCUAUUACCUGUUGCAGGUCUACUGACUUCAGUAGACUCCUCCACAAAUCUAUUUCUUCUCAUCCUUCAGAGCCAAAGUGACUUCCCAUCAUUGGAAGAAUUAGAAAGGGCCUGGAUGUUGACAUCUGUGAUAGCUCCUUGAAUCACUGUUCAAUUCCUUUCCAAAUGAGCUUUGAAGAUGGACAGCAGAUCUCCAAAUGAAGGUUCUUGAAUAUCCUGAGGACUUUGCCAUUCAUUGCCUGAAAAGCCACUGUUCAGAAGGAGAUCACUAUGCCAGGCAACAGCAGUGUUCAUGUUUCAGGCGGGUACCUGACCAAGCUGUGGGGUAUGAAAAUGUGCUGCACCUUUCCAUUGACCACACUGG